RNAcentral lists this non-coding RNA (28 nucleotides) under Homo sapiens (human). The record is from RNAcentral. Lineage: Eukaryota; Metazoa; Chordata; Mammalia; Primates; Hominidae.
UCCCCUCAACCGGCAGAAGCUAGACAGC